Molecule: transfer RNA, 82 nt
Filed under: Acidimicrobiales bacterium
Lineage: Bacteria; Bacillati; Actinomycetota; Acidimicrobiia; Acidimicrobiales
Description: tRNA-Leu
Rfam family: tRNA
About the family: Transfer RNA (tRNA) molecules are approximately 80 nucleotides in length. Their secondary structure includes four short double-helical elements and three loops (D, anti-codon, and T loops).
Source: RNAcentral
GCGGGCGUGGCGAAACUGGCAGACGCGCCAGGUUUAGGUCCUGGUGUCGAAAGACGUGGGGGUUCGAGUCCCUCCGCCCGCA